AAAGUAAUCCCCCAAGCCCUGCUUUCGAUGGUCCGCCGAUAUGAGCAGGAGUAUGCUCCACAGUGCUCUGGCAUCGUUGCUUCUGCUGCUACGCAAAUAGGUGGAUGACCGGUCAAAGAUGGCGGCCGUAUUUCUCGCGCCCCAGCAGCCAAUGCGGCGUCUACACUUUAUUAUGUCUAUGGUUGCCUCGGUCUAAAGGACCGCGGCCAGCCGGCGGCAAGAUGCUUUUAAAUACAAGGCUACUCUCAAAAUCGACCGUCCAUGUUGGUUUGGACACACAUUCGCAUCAGUUCGUCGCUCAAUCGCGAGUUACAGCCUGCAGUUUGCUAGCUAGCAAAGUCAUCGACUACCAACGUUUAAAUACCUUGGCCAGAGCAUAACCGGUUAUCUUCACCCAAGAGACCUACUGUUGGUCAGUCGUUUUGGUUUUAAAGAAGUUGCAUCGAUUCCAGAAAACCAGGAAAAUGUUGAGCCAUCUGUAGACUUCAGAGCUGCUCUUUCUCAGAACCAGGUUUCUCCCCAGUAAUCCAGACUCCAUUUCACAGAGCCAAGAGUUUGAGUACAACUCGUCAAGUACUAAGCUUUACACCCCCAGCAGCAAAUUUACCCUGGCAGCAUAUGGGUGAAAACGCUGGAGAGGCGUUCCCAGGCCAGCCGGGAGACAUAGUCCCUCCAGCGUGUCCUAGGCCUUCCCCGGGGUCUCCUCUCGGUGGGACGGGACCGGAACACCUUCCCAGGAAGGCGUUCCGGAGGCAUCCGAAACAGAUGCCCAAGCCACCUCAGCUGACCCCUCUCGAUGUGGAGGAGUCCAAUUCAUUAAAUAUUUCCAGUGACUCCAGAAUGAAAACCAAGCUCUGAGGGAGGAGAACCAAGCCCUGAGGGAAUGCAAUGCACAAGCGGCUUCGGAUGACAGCCGCUCACUUCAAGAGCAGGUGAAGCAAGUAGGGACAAUGUUGAAGACGUUUGCUCUCACUGGGCAAUCAGGUGCGUUACCUGAAAGGAGCAUCUGACCGUGAAGGCAGAAAAAGCCGCACAGCUGAGAAGGACCCACAGCCGACCCCUUCAACCUAGGCUGACUACUGACACCCCAGCAUCACUGAACUGGAACACUUUCUUUAUCCUGCAGUGCAGUCACUCACCCUGUUUUUUUUUUUGUAUUUUAACUUUAGUAUUGGCUUAUUUCAUUCCGUCUUAACGAUUCUAUUAUAGUUUGUAAAUCCUAUUUCAUACCUGUUACUUGAUAUUGCACAUUAACUAGUACCAAAAUUCUAAUUUCAUUUCAUCAGUGUGCUUAACUGUUAUUCUAUUAAUAAUAGCUUGGAAAUACUAUUUCGUACCUCUGAUACUUGAUAUUGCACAUUACCUGGUACCAAAUAUUCUACUUACUGUUUUUAACAUCAGCAUUUUUCAUUCCAUCACUGUGCUUAACUGUUAUUCUAUUGUUAAAUACAGCUUGUAAAUCCUUGUGACACAGAUCUUAUUGCAGCACGGUGUAAAUCUUGUGCUCCAGGUCAGCAAUGUGUAGAUGUAUUGAUUGUAUAAGUUAGUGAACUGUUGUAAGCUGUUGUAACCAAUGAAACAAAAUAUUAAAUGUUUGUAGUAUGAGCUGAAACUGAAGGUGCAAGUAGGAGAAUAGGAAACCCUGUUCAAGCGGUUGCCGGGGAGAGAAAGAUUUAGUAUGUCUGUCUUUGGAGAAACAGGACACGGUUAGAGACACACACAUAGCCUGACAGACAAGACAGAAACCAGAUGGGGGGGCAAGAAGAUGUUUGCAUUUACCCUUAUAAGGAAUAGAACUGGAACUGGACCAAUAGCAUACUUGCUUUGUGAAUUUAACGACUCUAUCUUUUGGGCGUAGUAGAAGUAUAAAAUGAUCUGUUGAAUGUUGAUCCUUAGACAUUGUGCGGCGACACUUGUCUCCAAAAGCUUUUGUAAUAAACGGAAUAUGCGGUAUGGUAAUUGACCUGACUCCUGGUGUUUUAUUCUCCUUUCCAACAAACCAACUCGGGGAAGUGUUUUGAGAGAGAAGUUGAUGACGAUGGGUGGGGUCCAGGCACGGGAAAGUGGAAACAAUUGGGGAUACAGGUGGCAAAUGUAUCUCCACCACCUGAUGAGGACCCGUCCACCUUGGCUCCGGCCACUUUCGCUUGAUGACCUUCAGCAACACCCACUCCGCCUGGGGCAGGUUCUGGUCCAGCGGGUGCAGGUCCCUCCUAUCUCCGACUCUGUUGGGUGAACCCAGUGGUCUGAUUUAACGAGCAUCGAAUCUUCAUGAG
Esox lucius (northern pike) is the source of this 2276-nucleotide long non-coding RNA. Lineage: Eukaryota; Metazoa; Chordata; Actinopteri; Esociformes; Esocidae. The record is from Ensembl.